RNAcentral lists this ribosomal RNA (465 nucleotides) under uncultured bacterium. RNAcentral describes it as "bacterial SSU rRNA". It matches the Rfam family "Bacterial small subunit ribosomal RNA", at positions 28 to 507 of the family's 1533-position model. The record is from RNAcentral.
GAUGAACGCUAGCGGCGUGCCUAAUGCAUGCAAGUCGAACGGGAUCCUUUGGAAUUAUUCUGAAGGUGAGAGUGGCGAACGGGUGAGUAACACGUUGGUGACCUACCCCAGAGAGGGGAAUAACUAUUGGAAACGAUAGCUAAUACCCCAGAUGUCAUUAUGGUUAGAGAGUAAUGACUAAAUGCUCCGGUGCUCUGGGAGGGGCCUGCGGCCCAUCAGCUAGUUGGUAGGGUAAUGGCUUACCAAGGCAAAGACGGGUAGGGGGCGUGAGAGCGUGACCCCCCACACUGGUACUGACACACGGACCAGAUACCUACGGGUAGCAGCAGCAAGGAAUAUUGCCCAAUGGACGCAAGUCUGAGGCAGCAACGCCGCGUGGAGGAUGAAGGCCUUCGGGUUGUAAACUCCUUUUCUGGGGGAAGAGAAAGGACGGUACCCCAGGAAUAAGUCUCGGCUAACUACGUG